UCGGGAAUUUUGGGCAAUGGGCGCAAGCCUGACCCAGCAACGCCGCGUGAGGGAUGAAGGCCCUCGGGUCGUAAACCUCUGUCGGGAGGGAAGAACGUCAACCGGGCGAAUAGGCCGGUUGGCUGACGGUACCUCCAAAGGAAGCACCGGCUAACUCCGUGCCAGCAGCCGCGGUAAUACGGAGGGUGCGAGCGUUGUUCGGAAUCAUUGGGCGUAAAGCGCGUGUAGGCGGCUUGGUUAGUCGGGUGUGAAAUCCCGGGGCUCAACCCCGGAACUGCACUCGAUACUGCCUCGCUAGAGUCCCGGAGAGGAAGGCGGAAUUCCCGGUGUAGAGGUGAAAUUCGUAGAUAUCGGGAGGAACACCAGCGGCGAAGGCGGCCUUCUGGACGGUGACUGACGCUGAGACGCGAAAGUGUGGGGAGCAAACAGGAUUAGAUACCCCCGUAGUCC
This 450-nucleotide ribosomal RNA is filed under the name uncultured prokaryote. Its description in RNAcentral is "bacterial SSU rRNA". It matches the Rfam family "Bacterial small subunit ribosomal RNA", at positions 355 to 796 of the family's 1533-position model. The record is from RNAcentral.